GAUGAACGCUGGCGGCGUGCCUAAUACAUGCAAGUCGAGCGAACUUUUGGGUGCUUGCUCCCAAAAGUUAGCGGCGGACGGGUGAGUAACACGUGGGCAACCUUCCUGUUAGACUUGGAUAACUUCGGGAAACCGGAGCUAAUACCGGAUAACAUUGAAGACUACAUGGCCUUCAAUUAAAAGGUGGCUUUUAGCUACCACUUACAGAUGUACCCGCGGCGCAUUAGCUAGUUGGUGAGGUAACGGCUCACCAAGGCGGCGAUGCGUAGCCGACCUGAGAGGGGGAUCGGCAACACUGGGACGGAGACACGGCCCAGACUCCUACGGGAGGCAGCAGUAGGGAAUCUUCCGCAAUGGACGAAAGUCUGACGGAGCAACGCCGCGUGAGCGAAGAAGGCCUUCGGGUCGUAAAGCUCUGUUGUUAGGGAAGAACAAGUAUCGUUCGAAUAGGGCGGUACCUUGACGGUACCUAACCAGAAAGCCACGGCUAACUACGUG
Molecule: ribosomal RNA, 498 nt
Filed under: uncultured bacterium
Lineage: Bacteria
Description: partial 16S ribosomal RNA
Rfam family: Bacterial small subunit ribosomal RNA
Source: RNAcentral